This 459-nucleotide ribosomal RNA is filed under the name uncultured bacterium. RNAcentral's name for it is "partial 16S ribosomal RNA". It matches the Rfam family "Bacterial small subunit ribosomal RNA", at positions 338 to 795 of the family's 1533-position model. The record is from RNAcentral.
CCUACGGGGGGCAGCAGUGAGGAAUAUUGGUCAAUGGGCGCGAGCCUGAACCAGCCAAGUCGCGUGAGGGAAGACGGUCCUAUGGAUUGUAAACCUCUUUUGUCGGGGAGCAAAAGACGCCACGCGUGGCGUUCCGAGAGUACCCGAAGAAAAAGCGUCGGCUAACUCCGUGCCAGCAGCCGCGGUAAUACGGAGGAUGCGAGCGUUAUCCGGAUUUAUUGGGUUUAAAGGGUGCGCAGGCGGAAGAUCAAGUCAGCGGUAAAAUUGAGAGGCUCAACCUCUUCGAGCCGUUGAAACUGGUUGUCUUGAGUGAGUGAGAGGUAUGCGGAAUGCGUGGUGUAGCGGUGAAAUGCAUAGAUAUCACGCAGAACUCCGAUUGCGAAGGCAGCAUACCGGCGCUCAACUGACGCUCAUGCACGAAAGUGUGGGUAUCGAACAGGAUUAGAUACCCGAGUAGUC